Molecule: ribosomal RNA, 721 nt
Filed under: Bacillus subtilis
Lineage: Bacteria; Bacillati; Bacillota; Bacilli; Caryophanales; Bacillaceae
Description: bacterial SSU rRNA
Rfam family: Bacterial small subunit ribosomal RNA
Source: RNAcentral
GACGAACGCUGGCGGCGUGCUAAUACAUGCAAGUCGAGCGGACAGAUGGGAGCUUGCUCCUGAUGUUAGCGGCGGACGGGUGAGUAACACGUGGGUAACCUGCCUGUAAGACUGGGAUAACUCCGGGAAACCGGGGCUAAUACCGGAUGGUUGUUUGAACCGCAUGGUUCAAACAUAAAAGGUGGCUUCGGCUACCACUUACAGAUGGACCCGCGGCGCAUUAGCUAGUUGGUGAGGUAACGGCUCACCAAGGCAACGAUGCGUAGCCGACCUGAGAGGGUGAUCGGCCACACUGGGACUGAGACACGGCCCAGACUCCUACGGGAGGCAGCAGUAGGGAAUCUUCCGCAAUGGACGAAAGUCUGACGGAGCAACGCCGCGUGAGUGAUGAAGGUUUUCGGAUCGUAAAGCUCUGUUGUUAGGGAAGAACAAGUACCGUUCGAAUAGGGCGGUACCUUGACGGUACCUAACCAGAAAGCCACGGCUAACUACGUGCCAGCAGCCGCGGUAAUACGUAGGUGGCAAGCGUUGUCCGGAAUUAUUGGGCGUAAAGGGCUCGCAGGCGGUUUCUUAAGUCUGAUGUGAAAGCCCCCGGCUCAACCGGGGAGGGUCAUUGGAAACUGGGGAACUUGAGUGCAGAAGAGGAGAGUGGAAUUCCACGUGUAGCGGUGAAAUGCGUAGAGAUGUGGAGGAACACCAGUGGCGAAGGCGACUCUCUGGU